This 279-nucleotide ribosomal RNA is filed under the name uncultured bacterium. RNAcentral's name for it is "partial 16S ribosomal RNA". It matches the Rfam family "Bacterial small subunit ribosomal RNA", at positions 506 to 784 of the family's 1533-position model. The record is from RNAcentral.
UGCCAGCCGCCGCGGUAAUACGGAGGAUCCAAGCGUUAUCCGGAUUUAUUGGGUUUAAAGGGUGCGUAGGCGGGAUAAUAAGUCAGUGGUGAAAUCUUCCAGCUUAACUGGGAAACUGCCAUUGAUACUGUUGUUCUUGAGUUUGGUUGAAGUAGGCGGAAUGAGGCAUGUAGCGGUGAAAUGCAUAGAUAUGCCUCAGAACACCGAUUGCGAAGGCAGCUUACUAAGCCAAUACUGACGCUGAGGCACGAAAGCGUGGGGAGCGAACAGGAUUAGAUA